GGCCUUGAGCAGGUUCCAGGGCAGCGGAUUUUGAUUCCGCCAUACGGAGGUUCGAUCCCUCCCCGGU
Molecule: transfer RNA, 67 nt
Filed under: Acidovorax soli
Lineage: Bacteria; Pseudomonadati; Pseudomonadota; Betaproteobacteria; Burkholderiales; Comamonadaceae
Description: tRNA-Gln
Source: RNAcentral